ACGGAGGGGGCUAGCGUUGUUCGGAAUCACUGGGCGUAAAGGGCGUGUAGGCGGCGAAUUUAGUUAGGCGUGAAAGCCCCGGGCUCAACCUGGGAACUGCGCUUAAUACUGAUUUGCUAGAGACCGGGAGAGGCGAGUGGAAUAUCCAGUGUAGAGGUGAAAUUCGUAGAUAUUGGAUGGAACACCGAUGGCGAAGGCAGCUCGCUGGACCGGUACUGACGCUGAGGCGCGAAAGCGUGGGGAGCAAACAGG
RNAcentral lists this ribosomal RNA (252 nucleotides) under uncultured bacterium. RNAcentral's name for it is "partial 16S ribosomal RNA". It matches the Rfam family "Bacterial small subunit ribosomal RNA", at positions 525 to 776 of the family's 1533-position model. The record is from RNAcentral.